This 627-nucleotide ribosomal RNA is filed under the name uncultured bacterium. RNAcentral describes it as "bacterial SSU rRNA". It matches the Rfam family "Bacterial small subunit ribosomal RNA", at positions 338 to 961 of the family's 1533-position model. The record is from RNAcentral.
CCUACGGGAGGCAGCAGUGGGGAAUUUUGGACAAUGGGCGAAAGCCUGAUCCAGCAAUGCCGCGUGAGUGAAGAAGGCCUUCGGGUUGUAAAGCUCUUUUGUCAGGGAAGAAACGGUGAGGGCUAAUAUCCCUUGCUAAUGACGGUACCUGAAGAAUAAGCACCGGCUAACUACGUGCCAGCAGCCGCGGUAAUACGUAGGGUGCAAGCGUUAAUCGGAAUUACUGGGCGUAAAGCGUGCGCAGGCGGUUUUGUAAGUCUGUCGUGAAAUCCCCGGGCUCAACCUGGGAAUUGCGAUGGAGACUGCAAGGCUAGAAUCUGGCAGAGGGGGGUAGAAUUCCACGUGUAGCAGUGAAAUGCGUAGAGAUGUGGAGGAACACCGAUGGCGAAGGCAGCCCCCUGGGUCAAGAUUGACGCUCAUGCACGAAAGCGUGGGGAGCAAACAGGAUUUAGAUACCCUGGUAGUCCACGCCCUAAACGAUGUACUACUAGUUGUACGGGUUUUAAUUAACUUGGUAACGCANCUACGCGUGAGUAGACGCCGNGGGAGGUACGGUCGCGAGAAUUAAACUAACGAAGAAGUAGACGGCGNGAGACGUAGCCGACGACGACGACGAGGGAGGUUAGG